GAUGAACGCUGGCGGCGUGCCUAAUACAUGCAAGUCGAGCGAACGGACGAGAAGCUUGCUUCUCUGAUGUUAGCGGCGGACGGGUGAGUAACACGUGGAUAACCUACCUAUAAGUCUGGGAUAACUUCGGGAAACCGGAGCUAAUACCGGAUAAUAUUUUGAACCGCAUGGUUCAAAAGUGAAAGACGGUCUUGCUGUCACUUAUAGAUGGAUCCGCGCUGCAUUAGCUAGUUGGUAAGGUAACGGCUUACCAAGGCAACGAUGCAUAGCCGACCUGAGAGGGUGAUCGGCCACACUGGAACUGAGACACGGUCCAGACUCCUACGGGAGGCAGCAGUAGGGAAUCUUCCGCAAAGGGCGAAAGCCUGACGGAGCAACGCCGCGUGAGUGAUGAAGGUCUUCGGAUCGUAAAACUCUGUUAUUAGGGAAGAACAUAUGUGUAAGUAACUGUGCACAUCUUGACGGUACCUAAUCAGAAAGCCACGGCUAACUACGUG
Molecule: ribosomal RNA, 497 nt
Filed under: uncultured bacterium
Lineage: Bacteria
Description: partial 16S ribosomal RNA
Rfam family: Bacterial small subunit ribosomal RNA
Source: RNAcentral